UACGUAGGUCCCGAGCGUUGUUCGGAUUUAUUGGGCGUAAAGCGAGCGCAGGUGGUUUAUUAAGUCUGGUGUAAAAGGCAGUGGCUCAACCAUUGUAUGCGUUGGAAACUGGUAGACUUGAGUGCAGGAGAGGAGAGUGGAAUUCCAUGUGUAGCGGUGGAAUGCGUAGAUAUAUGGAGGAACACCGGUGGCGAAAGCGGCUCUCUGGUCUGUAACUGACGCUGAGGCUCGAAAGCGUGGGUAGCGAACAGG
RNAcentral lists this ribosomal RNA (252 nucleotides) under uncultured bacterium. Its description in RNAcentral is "partial 16S ribosomal RNA". It matches the Rfam family "Bacterial small subunit ribosomal RNA", at positions 524 to 776 of the family's 1533-position model. The record is from RNAcentral.